This 433-nucleotide ribosomal RNA is filed under the name uncultured bacterium. RNAcentral's name for it is "partial 16S ribosomal RNA". It matches the Rfam family "Bacterial small subunit ribosomal RNA", at positions 29 to 507 of the family's 1533-position model. The record is from RNAcentral.
AACGAACGCUGGCGGCAUGCCUAACACAUGCAAGUCGAACGAAACCUUCGGGUCUAGUGGCGCACGGGGUCGUAACGCGUGGGAACCUGCCCUUAGGGUCGGAAUAACUCCCCGAAAGGGGUGCUAAUACCGGAUAAUGUCUUCGGACCAAAGAUUUAUCGCCUUUGGAUGGGCCCGCGUUGGAUUAGCUAGUUGGUAGGGUAAAAGCCUACCAAGGCGACGAUCCAUAGCUGGUCUGAGAGGAUGAUCAGCCACACUGGGACUGAGACACGGCCCAGACUCCUACGGGAGGCAGCAGUGGGGAAUAUUGGACAAUGGGCGAAAGCCUGAUCCAGCAAUGCCGCGUGAGUGAUGAAGGCCUUAGGGUUGUAAAGCUCUUUUACCCGGGAUGAUAAUGACAGUACCGGGAGAAUAAGCUCCGGCUAACUCCGUG